AAGGUGCCGGAUACAUUCCAUAAGGACUCGGCGAUCCUGGCAGACGUUAGCAUAAGCAUCAAAGACCAGGAAACUGGCAAGCACAUGAAAUUAUCAGNNNNNNUGCAGUUCAACAAUCGCGCCUUGACAUGGGGAUGGGAGAAGUUCAUAUCGCUGGAAGACUUCAAGGACUCCUCAAAAGGUUAUCUCGUGAAGACAAAGUGCUGCAUUGAAGCUCAGGUUGCAGUCAUUGGUUCCUCCAAGACGGAGUAG
This 252-nucleotide ribosomal RNA is filed under the name Triticum aestivum (bread wheat). Its description in RNAcentral is "partial small subunit ribosomal RNA". The record is from RNAcentral. Lineage: Eukaryota; Viridiplantae; Streptophyta; Magnoliopsida; Poales; Poaceae.